CCAGGACCAAUCUGAUUUUGAUUCAAUCAUUUUGUUAACCAUUCCCUGCAGUUGAAAAAUUGUGUGACCUUGCAAUGUUUUAUCUUGGCAUACUAUCUGUUUAUAGAAAGCUUCUGGUCAGUAAAAAAGACAGCGUGUGCAGUGAGAGCCAGUAGUUCCCACUGGAGGGAUGAGCGUGAUCACCAUCGAGAACGGCAGAAACCAGGUGGUGUAUUCGCAUGAACGAUCCUUCCUUCCACCUGAGCACAGCUGACUGAUCUCAAGACAAGAACGCGUGCUGUGAGAAGAAGCAGGAUGGUUGCGCUCUGCUGUGAGAAGGAAACCCCAUUUGGAUUGCUCUUUGUUUCCAUCCAGAUCAUAGCUCUAGCCGUGUGAGAAGUAGUCUUGUUUAUAAAGUUCCUGUCAUAGGCAUGGCUGGCUGACUGGAUGAUUUGGCAUAGCUUCAUCCAGCUGUGCACAUAUACUACAAUUGUGAGACAGUUUUAUCUUUUCACAGUAGGGCUCCAGAAGGUAAUGCAGGCCUACAGAGUUAGGAAGUAAACUAAGCCUUGGCUAGAACCAGAUCUACCAACCCAGUUUAUAUAUAUGAGGCCAAAGAAAAUCUGGUGUAAAGACACCAGGUCUGCUCGAGGUCUUGCAGGUUUCUCAGACACGAGCUGUGCAGCAUCAGACUACACAACUCCCAUCAACAUGGUGAGGAAGGAAGGAGAAGAGAGACAUGAGUGGUGUCACUGCUGCAGAAUUACUCUGAAACUUCAUCUUAAAAACAACGAGUAAGACGACCUGGUAGUUUGCAGCACAACUCAAGAACUUAGGUACAACUGGGAGGUAAAGGAAGAGCUUAAUAUCCCAUGAAAACCUGGCUUAUCUGAAUAAGGUAAUUUCUUUAUGCUAUACUUCAUUUUUGUUAUUUCAAACAGAUUGCUCAGAGCAUGCUGCCACUAUCUUCCACCCUGAUAUUGCAGUAAGUUGUUUUACAGACCCUGUUCAUUUAGGCUGGCUCUUACUGAAAUUAUGUUAGUGAAGUUAGAAAGUACAAUUUUGUUAAGAGGUCUUGAAUUUGUGCCUGAAGAGCAAUAACUAGCACAGCUAUGUUGUAUUUGAAUUUGGGGAGGCAUGUGAGCAUCAUCAGGGUCAGUUUGCAAUGUUAUAUGAGGACCAGAAAGAAUCUGAGUCUGAUGAACACAGUAAGUACCUAUCCCUGGCUACAGGUAUGAGGGAAGUUUUAGCAUGCCUUACCAUUUAUUUCCUUCUCUUCCCCUCUUUCUUUUACUCUAACAGUUAAAAAAUUAUUGUAGUUGUUCUGUUGUCAUCUUGUGAAAGACCUACUUCAUAUUUAGUUUUAAGUAGUCCAUUUUCCUGAGUAGUUUCCACUUGAAGGUAGUUUUAGCGGUAAUUGUGUCCCGGUACCAGACUUUAGGUUAUAGUAGUUUUGCCUUUAUGUAUAUCAGCAAGCAAUUCUUCUCCUUCUCCUUCUCCUUCUCCUCCUUUUCCCUUUCCCUUUCCCUUUCCGUUUCCCUCUCCCUUUCCCUUUCCGUUUCCCUUUCCCUUCAAAUCCACGUUGAAUUACCAUGCUUUAGUGGGAAACAAAAACAAAAACCCACUAGCAAGUCAUGGUUCUUCAUGUAAGUAUGACAAAGCUUAAUACU
This is a long non-coding RNA of Struthio camelus australis, 1649 nucleotides long. NCBI's taxonomy places the organism in Eukaryota, Metazoa, Chordata, Aves, Struthioniformes, Struthionidae. The record is from Ensembl.